CCCGGAAUUGGAAGGACCUAUCUCAGGACCUGAAAUCAAUGUAGUUCUCCCCACUGAUGGCACGGUGACUUUUUAAAAUAAACCAAAAUGAGAUUCUGCGCUUGGAUUGGUGGGGGAAAAAAAGGAAAUUCCAAGAAUUUGACUUGUUUCCCUGGACUUUCCCCACUCCUUACUUUUCUCUCAGCCUUGCAGAAGCACAUAGACCUUUCACGAACUAUUUGCCAAGGAAAGUCCUGCGAGCUGCAGACACCUGGCAGCUGUGACGAGUUUGCCUAACAAGGGUGCAGACCUGCAGCAGCUGAGCCUCCCUGAUAAAGGUCGGAGAGACUCAGUCCUGUCCUGCUGUGUGUGUGUGGGUGCAGGGGGGCAGUGGCUGCAGCCCCCCUGGGCUGCUCUGUCUGCCCAGCCUGGGGCAGCAAUGGGGCCACGCUGGCCCGGGGCUUUGGCAUCUUGUCAGAUAAUCCGUUUGAAGUCACGUGGGGAGUAUGUUCAUUUUCUUCUGCUGGAGUCCCAGCAAUGUAGCUGGGGCUGACAUCAGUUCCAAAAAACAGAAAGAAUGGUGUCAUUUUUCAACAAGUGCUGUCACUUGCGUUUUGCUGGUGGUGACAGCAUCCGCGGUCCAGCCCCGGCCCUGCUGGGCAGGAGCAGCUCUGCCAGCCCCGCUCUGCUCUCCUGCUGGCCCACAGCCUGAUGCCGCAGCCUUUACCAUUCACAGAGCCUGAGAAAUCUGCAGACCACAGGCUGAAAACCACCGACGAACACGGCAGCGUGCAGUAACCUGUGCAGAUCGCUUCCUUCGGAGACCAGCUCCAUCGUGCUGUGUCGCACCCACCCACCUCGGCCGUUUGCCCAGAGGUUUUCUAUUUCUGCACUUCCUUUGGGGAAACAAUUACAGCACCAGCCGCUGAUACUCGGUGCCUGCAGCAUCUCAAGCUUAACAAACAAAACACAGGCCAUGCAAACUAGAGCUGAAACUGGUCCAACCUCGGUUUUAUACUUCCAUCAAAAGAACUGCAGAAAAUGACAAAGAAAAUAUCACGACCCACCUCCUUGCUUGCAAGAUUCACUAGAUCUUUGAAGUUCUUUUGAAAUUCUUCUAUUGUGCUGCCCAGUGAGCCAGAGAAGCAGGUACUCAACAAGAAGAUACAGAGCAACAGCAUUUUUGCUUCCAGGAAAGCCACCUUCGAUUUAUGCCUUUUUAACGCCACGCGCUGCCUAUAUAUACCCAUGUACACCUUGAAUAUUAAAUCAAAGGGAAAGAUUUCUCACAUAGGAAAAGGCAGAAGACCUUGGUGUGAAUGAUCAGAGGCGCUGUGGGAUGCCUCAGUGGGGACAGGUUGGGGGUUUCCUUCCUUCUGACAUCAAAUAAGGGGAAAAUACCUUUCUAGAUAAGAGAUGUCAUUUUCUUACAUGAUAUCAAAAGCUCAUCACAGGAAAUAGGAGUAUUCCUUGUGUAACACACAUUUUAUGUGGUUCUAUUCUUAUUUUUGCAUCACGUAAUCAGAUAAACAGAGAUCUGGAAACCUGAGUGCUUCUUACAUUCCACUCGGAAAUAAGACAUCCCUUGUUCAAUCAGAUUUUCUAACAUAAACUGCAGUUCUAGGUGUAGUAAAAAUUAGUGAGAAAUUCUUAGGCAUACACAGACCCUAAGACCACUUAAUGAAUUUGAUUCUUUAGCCUUCUUCCUUCACCUGUUCUGUGAAAUUCAGCUGGGAAAAGCACGGGUUUAAUUAGCAAUAACCAAAUGUUAAAAGCACAGUAGACAUUAGUAGUAGAAAUCAGCAGUCCUGGCAUCAGUGAAAACCUUGUUUGAACUUCAAGAAGCCCUUCAGCGUUAGUGGAAAAACUCCGUGUACUGAAAAAUAUGUGUAAAUGGCUAAAAUCUACUUUCAGAUGCCUGGCAAGCGCUUGUGAGAGGGGAAUAGUCACUCACUAAAAGGUUACAAUUUUCCAGCAAAAUCAGAGAGAUCACUCAACAAUGUGUGAAGAAGUCAUCUGGUUUUCCACAGCUACCUGCUCGAGAGUCACAGAAGCAAAGGAGACCUUGUGCACAUCAAAUCAUUAAUUUCUCAAUACAUAAUUUUAUGAACAGAUCUGUUUAAGUAGAUCUGCUCAAGUCUUGAUGAAAACGUUGCCAAACAAAGCUUUUAAAUAUUUUUUUUAUUUAAAAUAAAAUACCGUUCUUUUCCUGAAAUUCAGCAAAGGAAGUGUAGCUAGAGGUUGAAAACCAACCAACCAACCAACCAACCAACCAACCAACCAACCACUCUUGAAAGGAUCUUUUGCUUCGAACUGAAAAAGCUCCUGACAAAGCUUUUAGCAGUAGGCUCACAGAGCUCCCUAUUGCCAGAGCACAUCCAAAGAAACACAAGGUCCCAAGCUGGAAACGUUUGGAUCCUGGAAGAGCACAAGGGGAGCAGCACAACAUAGAUUUACAUUCCUCUGUAGAAAUCCGCACUUGACGGCCCUUCGAAACCGGGCGCUGAGCGAGGGCGACUUUUGCCCGAGCCGCUAUGGCCACUCUUUCCCAGACGGAAAGGGAUAAAAAGCAUCUGUGAUGAACUAGGCAGAAGAGAAGCAGGUGUGCUGAAAGGUUUCCCUCUCCCACAGUGUGCAUGUAAGGCAAGCGUUCUGUUAUCUUUCACAAAUAGUGGUAGUUUUGUUAAAAAUUGUUGACAUGGAAAUUAGCAUCAAUCCCUUCCAGCUCAGGACAUACAGUGAUUUUGGGAUUCUAUGUCUAUCACAUCAUAUGUUAACAGAGUAUAUAUUUUAUUAUAUUUAAUAAGAAUUAAAGGAGUAAAGGUUUCUUGCUAUAUUGGCCAAUGAUCUAAUCUUUCUGCGCUGUCACCACCAUCUGAAUCACCAGCAAUGCCUCAAUGGCUCAUUCUGAAACAACGAAAAAUUUUGUCCCAAACUGAUCAUACCCAUGGUGUCAUAGCACCCAGGUGUGAUCUGGGAGUGGAACAAGAUGCACGUGAUCUUUAAUAAUGGAAGACUUCUGUCCAUCAUUCAUGGAUAGAACCACGGCAAUCCUUGUGUCACAGUAUCAAGUCUUGUAGAAUUUGAAUAAAGAAAGAAUUGUGACAUUAUGGGAGGUAUGUGGGAGUAGAAUGGAAAAAACGUAUUAAGGCAACAUAGGAUAAGUGUCUCCCAGUAAAAUGCCAUUCAGCCAACUGCCACAGAAACAAAUGAGAUCAAUAUGUAAGAUGCCAUUUCCCGGCCAAGUGCAAAUACCUUGUCUGUAAGACUUUGUAUCCAUACUUACGAUAAAAUCUAUAUUCCCCAUAUUCUCUGUGAAGCAACUUAGACUAGUGAAGGCUGGCUCUUCAGGUGUGUUGGCCUUUAGAACAAGUUUGGAAAGAAGCACGUUAAAGACAGAAGUCCAUGGUAGAAUAAGACAAAAUGUAAUCUCGAUUGCUGUAGGUGCUUCGUGCCAGAGUGACCAGAUAUCCUGGUUUGACAAAAGAGUUCAUCCCGUAAGGAGACAAGGAUCCUAGUACUGAGAUUUAGUAAAGCACUGUAUCAAACGAUAACGUAUUGGUUCAUCUAGAGAUGAGAAAUUGUUAAGGCAGAUGGGUUGGACUCAAUCACCUUAAAGGUCUUUUCCAACUUAAAUGUGAUGAAUAAUUCACUGGGCUAUGCUAAGGUUAGUGUUGAAAGGUAAGUUAUUAGACUGAAGUAGGUAAUUAAUGAAAGGCCUCAAGAUGUAGCCUCUGUCCUAAUGUCAUUAACAACGUUGUUGACAAGCUGAACAAAGCACUCAGACAGCGGAAGAGCUUGACUUGAUUAACUAGGAAAGUAAAGGCUGAGAAUGUGUGCAGUCUCUAAACAGAUCGAGAGAUAAGAGCAGGAAGAAGAUCUCUCAAAGACAGGACAACGUUCAGACAAAUUCAAACGGGGAACCCUCCAGUCUCCAAAUGUUUAGGCUGGAAAGAAAAAAGUUCGUAACUGUCAGUUGUUCUUCUAAUGUUCCAGCCAGUUUUACAAAGGAGCAUUGGCAGAUUUCUAGAAGGAAUGACAUGACAAUGCAUGUUGCAGGAGGCUGGAAACAGUGACACAGGUAGUUCUUUCUGAUCCUCAUCUUUUCACGUUCAUACUUUCACAUUCAUAGAUUUAUAUACUCUGAAAGGCUGAUAAUCGUGCUGAGUGGCAGCCAAAGGAGACAGAUCACAAGUGAAGAAAUCAUUCCCGCUAAACCAUCCUGCAGAAGCAUGAACACUGCUUUAGAGAACGGAUUUCAUAUUGGCGGGAAAACACUUUCUGUGAAACAGAAAACUCUUACCAGAAACAAUGCCAAUAAUCAAGUCCUAAUCAAUGACUUCUGGAGAAUAUUCCAGAGGUCAGACUGGUUGCAGAGUCAGGACAUGGUCUGUGCAUCAUUGGAACAUGGAAAAGUGUUGGCAUCGAGAAAGCAGCAGCAAUAGAGGCUGAUGGCAUCGUGUUCCUGAGCAACCAAGCCAUGACCAGGCAGCUGCAGGGCAGGAGACAACACACAACUGGAGCAUAAUCCAGUGUCAUCUACCCAGAGGAGUUGUAAUUGCUUCUGAAAGAUGCGUAUUAAUUUUAUCUUUGAUUUCGGCAAUAUUCUUACAGCCUGCUGUGAUAGUAAUGUCUCAGUGAAGCCAAUAGCAACUUCUUUUAGUCUCAAGAUCUGUGGUGACUGCAGCUCAUGUUUUGUGAACCUUUUUUACGCUCGUAAAAAGUAGGAUUAUCACCAGACUACGAGCACAGAGAAAGCCUGAAUUGUUAGCCACAAAACCACCUUCUGGCUGCCAGCUUAUGAUAAGGUCUAGACUAACUUCAUCUAACAUGUCUGUGUUAACUCACUUUAAUUACAGAUGAUGCUGAGACUGAGCACAAAGGGCUGUUUUCCAAAUUUUGCCUCUGUCAGCUAAUCAUGAAGUUGACCUGACACAAGACCGGCUGUUUUGUUUCCCUUCAUUCUCGAAGAACAGUAAUGGAUCUAGGAUAAGAAAGUUCUGAGGAAGGGGCAGUCCUCUGUUUUCUUGUUGGUUUGUUUGUUUUCUUCUGGUUGGGCUUUUUUCUAAGUGGAAGAUGAAUAGGGGCUAUGGAUCAUAGAGGAAAAGUCGCUUCUUGCAAUGGAUGUGGGAGAAGAUCGGUACCAGAAGGAGUCUAUGGGCCUUAGAAUUAAAUGAACUUGAGCAGCCAAAGGGAGAGAUUAUUUUUCCAGCCUCCAACCAACUGGAACCUUCCUACAGUCCCCAAAACUGCUUCAAAAUUCUGCUACUCCUUUCCAACCUCUUUGUAGACCCCAAAGCAUCUACGAAGUGUUGAGUAACUGAUGAAACGGCGCCCAAUGGCAUUGGUGUGCAGUAGCUGGAGUCUGCAGACCAGCUCUUCUAGGUCUGGUGAUAUGCAGCUCUUGACCCACUUUGUUAUCCUUAUGAUGCCCUAUUAGGUGACUUCUUAAUGUGCUUUGUGCGUGUGAUUAUUAUUAACAACAUUAUUUGGUGAUCGAAAAUUGUGAGAGAUUGACUUUCUCAUUAUGGAAUUAAAGGUCGGUUGCAAAACUCCAGAUGUGGCUUAGAAUUUUGGACUUUCCUAAUGUCCAGAAUUUUUCCAGGAGAGACUGGAAUAUUGAAAAUAUUUAAUUACCUAUGCUAAGAUCAUAAAUAUCAGAAAAUGAGUGAUGUUAAGAGCUUAUGUUUUCAUGGUACACAGAAAAGGAGAGACGAUGGUUGAGGACUUGACCAGGAACAGCCGAAGUUUUUUAUACUGCAGGAAAAGUGGUGAUUUCCCCUUUCCCUGUUUUCUUCAGAGCAAGAACUAACUUACAGAUUUUAAAGUGAUUUAAACUUCUGCUUCCUCAUCCUCGUGAACAUCGAUAGCAACAACAGCUCUUGCAGCACAGUUUCUGCCAUUAUAUCCAAUAAUGGACAUGCAUGUUAACCCUUGAUUUCCUGCUUAACUUUUUCAGAUGUGUUGUUUUGUGCCAAUUUUGUGACUCCUUGUUUUGCUCUUGAGAGCAGGAUCUGUAUUAUACCACCUAUCAAGUGGUAUAAAACAUGCACCCUUGCUAAAAGUGUUAAAUCUGUUUUCAUUUUUUCUCUUGUUUCCUCCUACUUUUCUUAAAAAACAUAAUUCAGACUUAGCAUUGUGCCUAAGAAAGCAUGUAAAGCAGGUGGACUUAGUGGCCAAAAACUGCAUGAAACUUCUACUACAUUAUGUAGUGAUUUCCCUUCAGAUACAAAUACGAGGCAUUUAUGAAUGCUUCCUAAUUUAAUUAGGAAAAUGAAUUUUAAUUUGGGUUUAUUUCCAGAUUAUGAGCGUUGCUAAAGUCGCUCACCUAGAGGCAUGAAGUUGCAUUUGCUCAGCCGCUGUUGAGCUGCCUGUGGAACAACGGGAGCUGUUUGCAUUUAAUGUGAAAAGUGGCCGCAACUUGAUUUCACAUUUUGCCGCAUCCAACAACAUUCACUUUGAAGCAAGACAACUGUCAGUUCACAAGACAGAUUUUCAGCCAAUGAUGAGCAAAUAAAAAAAGCAGGAUAGAUAAUGGAAGUAGUAUUGUUUCUUUACAAACAGCUUGUAUCCUGUUUCCAAGAACGUUUGCAGGCAGGUGUAAAAUGUGGGAAAGAAGACUAUAUGCUGUUAAAUAAAACAUUUCUACUUAA
Molecule: long non-coding RNA, 6632 nt
Organism: Columba livia (rock pigeon)
Lineage: Eukaryota; Metazoa; Chordata; Aves; Columbiformes; Columbidae
Exons: 4
Source: RefSeq, a predicted model, not a curated record